Long non-coding RNA from Perognathus longimembris pacificus (Pacific pocket mouse), 450 nucleotides. RefSeq lists it as uncharacterized. NCBI's taxonomy places the organism in Eukaryota, Metazoa, Chordata, Mammalia, Rodentia, Heteromyidae. The record is from RefSeq and is a predicted model, not a curated record. The transcript is spliced from 3 exons.
CGGGUAUAUUUUUAUCACAUUGUAGUUACAUAAUUAGUUAUAAUUAUUUGCUUAAAUCCUGCCCCCUCCUAAGUCAGGAGCCAUAAAUUGAAAUGUCCUUGGGGCCUCUGAAGGUUACGGCUCCAUGCAGCCCCGGAGGAAUGUAGCCCCAGUGCUGCUAGAUUGCUCCGGAGAGAUUAAAAUUCAGCAGUCCUAGUUAUAUAUUUUUAAGAGUUAUUGGCAUAUUUGAAAACAAUUGAACUUAACGUAGAUUGAACAAGACAUAUCUCCCAUCCGAAAAUGACCCAUCUUCUCUUGCCUGUCCAUCUCACACGCGUGGUGGGGGAUGGGGCAAAAAUGUAAGAGUAAAUUUAGAUGUGGAGGUAGGGUAAAGCAAGCUUUUGAAGUGGGAGGACCAGGGAAGAGUUUAUACUCUAUUUGAGGAAAGACAAAUGGAAAUUUCCAGUGUGA